AACGCACAUUGCGCCCUUUGGUAUUCCUUAGGGCAUGCCUGUUCGAGCGUCAUUAUAAAACCUCAAGCCUUGCUUGGUGAUGGGUGACUGUCUGCACGUUGUUGUGGACUCGCCUCAAAAUCAGUUGGCAGCUUCAUCCUUAGCUCUAAACGCAGCAGAAUCGUGCUUUAUGGGCGUGUGGACAGAGCUUUCCAGAAAAGUAAAUCUUUCUCAGUUUGACCUCGGAUCAGGUAGGGAUACCCGCUGAACUUAA
RNAcentral lists this unclassified non-coding RNA (253 nucleotides) under uncultured Pleosporales. Its description in RNAcentral is "sequence contains 5.8S rRNA gene, ITS2, 28S rRNA gene". Lineage: Eukaryota; Fungi; Ascomycota; Dothideomycetes; Pleosporales. The record is from RNAcentral.